GAUGAACGCUAGCGGCAGGCUUAACACAUGCAAGUCGAGGGGUAUAACACUUCGGUGUUAGAGACCGGCGCACGGGUGCGUAACGCGUAUGUAAUCUACCUUUUACAGAGGGAUAGCCCAGAGAAAUUUGGAUUAAUACCUCAUGGUAUUAUGGACAGGCAUCUAUUUAUAAUUAAAGAUUUAUCGGUAAAAGAUGAGCAUGCGUCCCAUUAGCUAGUUGGUAUGGUAACGGCAUACCAAGGCGACGAUGGGUAGGGGUCCUGAGAGGGAGAUCCCCCACACUGGUACUGAGACACGGACCAGACUCCUACGGGAGGCAGCAGUGAGGAAUAUUGGACAAUGGGCGCAAGCCUGAUCCAGCCAUGCCGCGUGCAGGAUGACUGCCCUAUGGGUUGUAAACUGCUUUUGUACAGGAAGAAACCCUUCUACGAGUAGAAGAUUGACGGUACUGUAAGAAUAAGGAUCGGCUAACUCCGUGCCAGCAGCCGCAGUAA
Molecule: ribosomal RNA, 494 nt
Filed under: uncultured bacterium
Lineage: Bacteria
Description: partial 16S ribosomal RNA
Rfam family: Bacterial small subunit ribosomal RNA
Source: RNAcentral